AAGCGGUGGAGCAUGUGGUUAAUCGAAGCAACGCGAAGAACUUACCAGGUCUUGACAUCCCCUGACAACCCGAGAGAUCGGGCGUCCCCUUCGGGGGACAGGGUGACAGGUGGUGCAUGGUUGUCGUCAGCUCGUGUCGUGAGAUGUUGGGUUAAGUCCCGCAACGAGCGCAACCCCUAUUGUUAGUUGCCAUCAUUCAGUUGGGCACUCUAGCGAGACUGCCGGUAAUAAACCGGAGGAAGGUGGGAUGACGUCAAAUCAUCAUGCCCCUUAUGACCUGGGCUACACACGUGCUACAAUGGCCGGUACAGACGGACGCAAAGCCGCGAGGUGGAGCAAAUCCUAAAAAGCCGGUCUCAGUUCGGAUUGCAGGCUGCAAUUCGCCUGCAUGAAGUCGGAAUCGCUAGUAAUCGCAGGUCAGCAUACUGCGGUGAAUACGUUCCCGGGCCUU
Molecule: ribosomal RNA, 451 nt
Filed under: uncultured Thermincola sp.
Lineage: Bacteria; Bacillati; Bacillota; Clostridia; Eubacteriales; Thermincolaceae
Description: bacterial SSU rRNA
Rfam family: Bacterial small subunit ribosomal RNA
Source: RNAcentral